This is a long non-coding RNA of Camellia sinensis, 421 nucleotides long. RefSeq lists it as uncharacterized. The record is from RefSeq and is a predicted model, not a curated record. NCBI's taxonomy places the organism in Eukaryota, Viridiplantae, Streptophyta, Magnoliopsida, Ericales, Theaceae.
UACGAGCCGAGCUCGAGUUAUAAAUUUUAGUUGUGCCGAGCUGGAUUUUGGCCAUAGUUCCAUUGGGAUUUUGGCCAUAGUUCCUUCGCCAAAGUUGUGUAAUUUCUCGAGGGCUUUGUGGUGUAUGGUGGAGAUCGAGUUUCAACUCUUUUCAUCUUCUCCAUUUGAGCUCCGAAUUUGAGGUGCAGGUGAGAUGUUACCUCCAAGGCAAUAGUAUGGAUGGACCAUCGGGAAGCAAGAGUUUCCUUAUUAUGCUUUAUGUGUGCAUGAGUGUUAUUUGUAAAGCCAAGGGCUUAAUAUGUAAUGAGCGAGACUCUAUUUGUGUAACCAAGCAAUGUCUUGGAAAGAUGGAAGCCUAUAUGGCACUUAAUUGUUUGCUAAACAGUGAACUCUGAUAUAUGAACUUAUGUUGUUUUUUUUA